AUUGAACGCUGGCGGCAUGCUUUACACAUGCAAGUCGAACGGUAACAGGUUAAGCUGACGAGUGGCGAACGGGUGAGUAAUGCAUCGGAACGUGCCCGAUCGUGGGGGAUAACGCAGCGAAAGCUGCGCUAAUACCGCAUACGACCUGAGGAUGAAAGCGGGGGACCGUAAGGCCUCGCGCGAUCGGAGCGGCCGAUGUCAGAUUAGGUAGUUGGUGGGGUAAAGGCCCACCAAGCCGACGAUCUGUAGCUGGUCUGAGAGGACGACCAGCCACACUGGGACUGAGACACGGCCCAGACUCCUACGGGAGGCAGCAGUGGGGAAUUUUGGACAAUGGGCGAAAGCCUGAUCCAGCCAUGCCGCGUGCAGGAUGAAGGCCUCCGGGUUGUAAACUGCUUUUGUACGGAACGAAAAGACUCUUUCUAAUAAAGAGGGUCCAUGACGGUACCGUAAGAAUAAGCACCGGCUAACUACGUGCCAGCCGCCGCUGUAA
Molecule: ribosomal RNA, 493 nt
Filed under: uncultured bacterium
Lineage: Bacteria
Description: partial 16S ribosomal RNA
Rfam family: Bacterial small subunit ribosomal RNA
Source: RNAcentral